UACGAAGGGGGCGAGCGUUGUUCGGAAUUACUGGGCGUAAAGGGCGCGCAGGCGGCCUUAGAAGUCAGAUGUGAAAGCCCCGGGCUCAACCUGGGAAUGGCAUUUGAUACUCUGAGGCUGGAGUACGGGAGAGGAGAGUGGAAUUCCAGUGUAGAGGUGAAAUUCGUAGAUAUUGGGAAGAACACCGGUGGCGAAGGCGGCUCUCUGGACCGUAACUGACGCUGAGGCGCGAAAGCGUGGGGAGCAAACAGG
Molecule: ribosomal RNA, 252 nt
Filed under: uncultured bacterium
Lineage: Bacteria
Description: partial 16S ribosomal RNA
Rfam family: Bacterial small subunit ribosomal RNA
Source: RNAcentral